GUGGGGAAUCUUCCGCAAUGGACGAAAGUCUGACGGAGCAACGCCGCGUGAGUGAUGAAGGUCUUCGGAUUGUAAAGCUCUGUUAAUCGGGACGAAAGAGCCUAGUGUGAAUAAUGCUAGGAAGUGACGGUACCGGAAUAGAAAGCCACGGCUAACUACGUGCCAGCAGCCGCGGUAAUACGUAGGUGGCAAGCGUUGUCCGGAAUUAUUGGGCGUAAAGCGCGCGCAGGCGGAUCUGCCAGUCUGUCUUAAAAGUUCGGGGCUUAACCCCGUGAUGGGAUGGAAACUACAGAUCUAGAGUAUCGGAGAGGAAAGUGGAAGUCCUAGUGUAGCGGUGAAAUGCGUAGAUAUUAGGAAGAACACCAGUGGCGAAGGCGACUUUCUGGACGAAAACUGACGCUGAGGCGCGAAAGCCAGGGGAGCGAACGGGAUUAGAAACCCGUGUAGUCC
Molecule: ribosomal RNA, 450 nt
Filed under: uncultured bacterium
Lineage: Bacteria
Description: partial 16S ribosomal RNA
Rfam family: Bacterial small subunit ribosomal RNA
Source: RNAcentral